CGGAUUGCAGUCUGCAACUCGACUGCAUGAAGCUGGAAUCGCUAGUAAUCGCGGAUCAGAAUGCCGCGGUGAAUACGUUCCCGGGUCUUGUACACACCGCCCGUCACACCAUGGGAGUCAGUAACGCCCGAAGUCAGUGACCGAACCGAGAGGACGGAGCUGCCGAAGGCGGGACGGAUAACUGGGGUGAAGUCGUAACAAGGUAAC
RNAcentral lists this ribosomal RNA (207 nucleotides) under uncultured bacterium. RNAcentral describes it as "partial 16S ribosomal RNA". It matches the Rfam family "Bacterial small subunit ribosomal RNA", at positions 1294 to 1500 of the family's 1533-position model. The record is from RNAcentral.